UAAAAUCAAUUACCACAUAAUUAAAAUUUUUUCAAAAUCCAAGAAACACUCGAAGAGAAAUAAGAGAAGGGUGAGAGCUCACCGAAACCCUAAGCUCACUGUAGACAUCUCCACCGCCGUCUCCAUCGCCGCCGUCACCGCCGUCGCGGCCGCUAAAGUUAAUCUCCUUUCUGCUUCUGCUAUAAAGCUACUGAGAUUGAGCUAAGGCGCUUCCUUCGUCAACGCGUUUUCAGAUCUAAUUGCAAUGCCCAAGCCUCUGAGAUUGAGAGAAACCGCUUCUUCGGUUAACUCUCCUUGGACAAUGACGCUCGUGUUCUCCAUCGACAUUCUAUCCUUUCUAGGCUAGAUCCUUGAAGUACUGAAAAACUGGUUAGAGAAGAGCACUCAAGUUGUUGUCACUAAUGACGAGCGUAUAUUAGGACUAGGAGAUCUUGGUUGCCAGGCUGUUGUUUUCACAGAUAUUAGUCUUGAGAAAGCUAUUGAGUUCAAUGAUUUUUGCCACACUCAUCAGCCUCCUAUUGCUUGUAUCAAAACUGAAGUUAGAGGUUUUUUGUAGAGGAAAAGCCAGUUCUGGACUCGGAACUUUGGCAUGCAUGUGCUGGUUCCCUUGUUUCUUUACCUGCAGUUGGGAGCCAUGUGGUAUACUUUCCAUAAGGUCAUAGUGAACAAGCGAAAUUUCUAAUAUGUUUCAACUUAAAUAUUUUUAAGUUGGUUGAUAUUUCUAAGUGUAUUGAGGCACAGUUAUCCAAUUACAGAUCCUGAUGUGGAAGGUAAUUAAUUAAAUUUGUCCACGUAAGUUAAAUUCUUAACGAAAAAUUAUUAGGAUUCUCAGUAUACAUUAUAACUCUUACACUGAUGUAUUAAUUGAAUUACAAAUUAUUAACGAGUGUUAUAAUAAAAUUACUUUAACCUAUGUGGCAUAAAUUGAUUGGAGUUAUGUUACUCUUAGAGCACCUAAUAACAACUCAUUUUCUAUAAAGAUACGAUUAAUUCAUCCAUAUUUAUGUUAACACUUAUCAAUUUUGGAUGUUCAUA
Molecule: long non-coding RNA, 1035 nt
Organism: Arachis duranensis
Lineage: Eukaryota; Viridiplantae; Streptophyta; Magnoliopsida; Fabales; Fabaceae
Exons: 4
Source: RefSeq, a predicted model, not a curated record